RNAcentral lists this ribosomal RNA (473 nucleotides) under uncultured bacterium. Its description in RNAcentral is "bacterial SSU rRNA". It matches the Rfam family "Bacterial small subunit ribosomal RNA", at positions 335 to 801 of the family's 1533-position model. The record is from RNAcentral.
ACUCCUACGGGAGGCAGCAGUGGGGAAUAUUGCACAAUGGGGAAACCCUGAUGCAGCCAUGCCGCGUGUGUGAAGAAGGCCUUCGGUUGUAAAGCACUUUCAGUAGGGAGGAAGGUAGUGUAGUUAACACCUGCAUUAUUUGACGUUACCUACAGAAGAAGCACCGGCUAACUCCGUGCCAGCAGCCGCGGUAAUACGGAGGGGUGCGAGCGUUAAUCGGAAUUACUGGGCGUAAAGCGCAUGCAGGCGGCCUGUUAAGUCAGAUGUGAAAGCCCGGGGGCUUAACCUCGGAAUUGCAUUUGAAACUGGCAGGCUAGAGUCUUGUAGAGGGGGUAGAAUUUCAGGUGUAGCGGUGAAAUGCGUAGAGAUCUGAAGGAAUACCGGUGGCGAAGGCGGCCCCCUGGACAGAUACUGACACUCAGAUGCGAAAGCGUGGGGAGCGAAACAGGAUUAGAUACCCUGGUAGCUACGAG